This 241-nucleotide ribosomal RNA is filed under the name uncultured bacterium. RNAcentral describes it as "partial 16S ribosomal RNA". It matches the Rfam family "Bacterial small subunit ribosomal RNA", at positions 95 to 334 of the family's 1533-position model. The record is from RNAcentral.
CCGGCGCACGGGUGAGUAACACGUAUCCAACCUGCCGUCUACUCUUGGCCAGCCUUCUGAAAGGAAGAUUAAUCCAGGAUGGCAUCAUGAGUUCACAUGUCCGCAUGAUUAAAGGUAUUUUCCGGUAGACGAUGGGGAUGCGUUCCAUUAGAUAGUAGGCGGGGUAACGGCCCACCUAGUCAACGAUGGAUAGGGGUUCUGAGAGGAAGGUCCCCCACGUUGGAACUGAGACACGGUCCAA